Molecule: long non-coding RNA, 2126 nt
Organism: Trichomycterus rosablanca
Lineage: Eukaryota; Metazoa; Chordata; Actinopteri; Siluriformes; Trichomycteridae
Exons: 2
Source: RefSeq, a predicted model, not a curated record
AGUUUAAAGGAACACUCGUUUUAUGUAAACACGUCAACAAAAUACAGUCGUUAACUACAUUUAAGUCAAAGUUUAAGUAAAAAAAAAACUGAAGCAUAAAUACCGAAACGGACGCCAUUCGAGGCAGCUUAAUGUAGAGAGAAGUUUGGAAUGCAGCUUUCGUCACCGCGGUGCUGGAGACUAGCAAGAUCGGUUCAUUGAUAUCUGAGCUGCCCUACGGACAGUUACAUGCCCAGCUUUUAACACACCACUACUACAACUACUUACAGUUAUGUCAGGCUGACAGACUUUUCUUCCUGAUAUUUCACCACCUUUAAUAAAGAAAAGAUUUUACCAUAUAAAGAAGAAAGCAUUUCAGGUGCGCGUGCUCGUGUCAGGGCGCUGGCUCACGCGAAUCGCCACGCCCACGUGUACCUGAGUAUAAACACUUCGAUAACAACAUCGCGCUCCUAUACAAACACACAUUGGCAGUAACGUUAAAAGCCUUUCUUUUUUGUAUAAAAAAGUGGAACUAAAAUACUUUGUUUAUUACCCUGAAACCCGGUUUAUACAUGUAGAACUUAAAACGUUUAGAACGAUAGUAACAGACCUUUGUGGUAAACCUGUCAACCAGCUCAAGUUAGUUCAGAAUGCAGCAGCUCGAGCACUCACAAAAACAGAAAGUCUUAUCAUAUUAGUCCUAUUUUAUUAACCCUGCAUUGACUGCCAACAUACCUCUGCUAACAUUAAGUGGUACAUGAACUGGCUCCACAGUAUCAAAGUCAACUUAUUACGCACCACAACCCAAGUCUACUUUUUGCAAGGUGCAGGGCCUAUGUACACUGAUUGGGUAUAACAUUAUGACCACCUUCGUAAUAUUGUGUUGGUCCCCCUUUUUCUGCCAAAACAGCCCUGACCUGUCGAGGCACUGGACCUCUGAAGGUGUGCUGUGGUAUCUGGCACCAAGAUCCUUUAACUCCUGUAGGUUGCGAUGUGGGGCCACCGUGGAUUUAACCUGUUUGUCCAGCACAUUGCCCAAAGCAUCCCACUGACUUCACCGGCUUGCUUUCUUCUCAUAGUGCAUCCUGGUGCCAUGUGUUUCCCAGGUAAGCGUCCCCGGCACCCGCGCACCCGGCCAUCCACGUAAUGUAAAAGAAAACGUGAUUCAUCAGACCAGGCCACCUUCCAUUGCUCCGUGGUCCAGUUCCGAUGCUCACGUACCCAUUGUUGGCGCUUUCAGCGGUGGACAGGCGUCAGCAUGGGCACCCUGACUGGUCUGCGGCUAUGCAGCCCCAUACGCAACAAACAGCGAUGCACUGUGUAUUUUGACACCUUUCUAUCAGAACCAGCAUUAACUUCUUCAGCAAUUUGAGCUACAGUAGCUGGUCUGUUGGAUCGGACCACACGGGCCAGCCUUCACUCCCCACGUGCAUCAAUGAGCCUUGGCCGCCCAUGACCCUGUCGCCGGUUUACCACUGUUUCUUUCUUGGACCACUUUUGAUAAAUACUGAUCACUGCAAACCAGGAACACCCCAAAAGAGCUGCAGUUUUGGAGAUGCUCUGACCGAGUCAUUUUUCUUGCUUCUAACACAUCAACUUUGAGGAUAAAAUGUUCACUUGCAGCCUAAUAUAUUAUAAUAUAUUCUCUGUUGUUUUACCCCGAGGGCAUUCUGAUGGAAACCUGUUCACCCGCCGAGGUUAAGGAUUGAAGUCGAGACUGCCGGGACAACGAUGCUUCUCCUGUCAGAUGUGACGGGUCUGGAGUAAUUGCAACGACAAGAAAUCACUACAGACUUUAUUGAAGACUAGAGCGGAUAACAACUCUAUUAUUAUUUAAUUGUUUAUUUAUCUAUUUAUUACCAGUUAUGACUUUUAGAUCAUUUAAUUCUGUGUUUGUAUGAUUUGUGUAAAUCGUGUAUUUAUUUAAAGUAUCCUCCAGGCCACCCAUGAAGGAUGGGCCCUGCUGAGUCUGGUUCCUCUCAAGGUUUCUUCCUGUAAUUUUCAGGGAGUUUUUCCUUGCCACAGUCGCCCUCGGCUUGCUCAACAGGGGUUUUUGUAUCUGUUGGUCCUGGAUUUUGUAAAGUUGCUUUGAGACAAUGUCUAUUGUAAAAAGCGCUAUAUAAAUAAAGUUGACUUGACUUAAUAUA